AGUGAACGCUGGCGGUAGGCCUAACACAUGCAAGUCGAACGGCAGCACAGUAAGAGCUUGCUCUUACGGGUGGCGAGUGGCGGACGGGUGAGGAAUACAUCGGAAUCUACUUUUUCGUGGGGGAUAACGGAGGGAAACUUACGCUAAUACCGCAUACGACCUACGGGUGAAAGCAGGGGAUCUUCGGACCUUGCGCGAUUGAAUGAGCCGAUGUCGGAUUAGCUAGUUGGCGGGGUAAAGGCCCACCAAGGCGACGAUCCGUAGCUGGUCUGAGCGGAUGAUCAGCCACACUGGAACUGAGACACGGUCCAGACUCCUACGGGAGGCAGCAGUGGGGAAUAUUGGACAAUGGGCGCAAGCCUGAUCCAGCCAUACCGCGUGGGUGAAGAAGGCCUUCGGGUUGUAAAGCCCUUUUGUUGGGAAAGAAAAGCAGCAGGUUAAUACCCCGCUGUUCUGACGGUACCCAAAGAAUAAGCACCGGCUAACUUCGUG
Molecule: ribosomal RNA, 492 nt
Filed under: uncultured bacterium
Lineage: Bacteria
Description: partial 16S ribosomal RNA
Rfam family: Bacterial small subunit ribosomal RNA
Source: RNAcentral